RNAcentral lists this ribosomal RNA (1003 nucleotides) under Tripylina sp. 1 HMM2018. Its description in RNAcentral is "eukaryotic LSU rRNA". It matches the Rfam family "Eukaryotic large subunit ribosomal RNA", at positions 88 to 919 of the family's 3401-position model. Lineage: Eukaryota; Metazoa; Nematoda; Enoplea; Enoplida; Trischistomatidae. The record is from RNAcentral.
GGCGAGUGAAGGAGAAAGCCCAGCACCGAAUCCUCCAGGGACUCCUUGGCAGGACCUGUGGUGUGUAGGAGAGUCUCUCCGGCGUUAGUAACUCUUGAAGUCCCCUUGAGCGGGGCCAUCGCCCAGAGCGGGUGCAAGGCCCAUGCAAGAGAGACUGAUGUCGGUUGGAACCUCCACAGAGUCGGGUUGCUUGAGAGUGCAGCUCAAAUGCGUAGUAAACCCUACGUAAGGCUAAAUAUGACCACGAGACCGAUAGCAAACAAGUACCGUGAGGGAAAGUUGCAAAGAACUUUGAAGAGAGAGUUCAAGAGGGCGUGAAACCGUUUAGAAGUAAACGGGUGGAACUGCAAUGCAGUCUGUAGAAUUCAUCUUAUUCUAACGGGGAUACCUCGCGACUGAUCGUCUGACUGGCGACGGGGAAUUCUUCGAGGAAUGAGUGCACUUUCUGCAGAUGAGCGCCACGAUCGAUUAGUGUGCUGGCUGAAGGCUGUUGAUUGCCGACUCAGAUUCGUCUGAGAGCCCCGUCAACGUGUCUGGUCCUAGUUGCACUGAUCGAAAAUCUGCCGUGCCUGCAUGUCUCAUAGCGUGCCGCUUUGAGGUGGUUGAACAUUCAGGUUCAGCUUGCUGAGCCUGGAGACGCCCAUCGCUUACUCGGUACGUGGUUGAGAUGGCACUUAUGAUCUGUGGCGUCCGUGUCAGUGUCCCACCCGACCCGUCUUGAAACACGGACCAAGGAGUCUAACAUGUACGCAAGUCAUUGGGUGACAAACCCAUAGGCGUAAUGAAAGUAAAGGUCAAUUUAUUUGGCUUAAGUGAGAUCCUUGGUUUAACCGAGGCGCAUCACUGUCCCAUCUCAUUCACAUUGCUGAAGAGGUGGAGAAAGAGCGUACACGUUGGGACCCGAAAGAUGGUGAACUAUGCCUGAGCAGGACGAAGCCAGAGGAAACUCUGGUGGAGGUCCGUAGCGGUUCUGACGUGCAAAUCGAUCGUCAGACUGGGUAUA